CUGGGCGACUCUAUAGGAGACUGCCGGUGACAAACCGGAGGAAGGUGGGGAUGACGUCAAGUCAUCAUGGCCCUUACGGCCUGGGCUACACACGUGCUACAAUGGUCGGUACAAAGGGUUGCCAAGCCGCGAGGUGGAGCUAAUCCCAUAAAACCGAUCGUAGUCCGGAUCGCAGUCUGCAACUCGACUGCGUGAAGUCGGAAUCGCUAGUAAUCGUGAAUCAGAAUGUCACGGUGAAUACGUUCCCGGGCCUU
Molecule: ribosomal RNA, 254 nt
Filed under: uncultured Pseudomonas sp.
Lineage: Bacteria; Pseudomonadati; Pseudomonadota; Gammaproteobacteria; Pseudomonadales; Pseudomonadaceae
Description: partial 16S ribosomal RNA
Rfam family: Bacterial small subunit ribosomal RNA
Source: RNAcentral